ACGCUCGACACCUACAGGAGGCAGCAGUGGGGAAUAUUGCACAAUGGGGGAAACCCUGAUGCAGCGACGCCGCGUGAGCGAAGAAGUAUUUCGGUAUGUAAAGCUCUAUCAGCAGGGAAGAAACUGACGGUACCUGACUAAGAAGCACCGGCUAAAUACGUGCAGCAGCCGCGGUAAUCUGAGCGGGCUGGCAAGGC
RNAcentral lists this ribosomal RNA (197 nucleotides) under uncultured bacterium. Its description in RNAcentral is "partial 16S ribosomal RNA". It matches the Rfam family "Bacterial small subunit ribosomal RNA", at positions 328 to 539 of the family's 1533-position model. The record is from RNAcentral.